This is a long non-coding RNA of Oncorhynchus masou masou (cherry salmon), 227 nucleotides long. RefSeq lists it as uncharacterized. The transcript is spliced from 3 exons. The record is from RefSeq and is a predicted model, not a curated record. NCBI's taxonomy places the organism in Eukaryota, Metazoa, Chordata, Actinopteri, Salmoniformes, Salmonidae.
CAGUAUAAUAAGGUAGGUGGGGUUUGGACUAGCCAGUGUAAUAAGGUAGGUGGGGUUUGGACUGGCCAGUAUAAUAAGGUAGGUGGGGUUUGGACUAGCCAGUAUAAUAAGGUAGGUGGGGUUUGGACUAGCCAGUAUAAUAAGGUAGGUGGGGUUUGGACUGGCCAGUAUAAUAAGGUAAGUGGGGUUUGGACUAGCCAGUAUAAUAAGGUAGGUGGGGUUUGGAC